CCUACGGGAGGCUGCAGUGGGGAAUCUUGCACAAUGGGGGAAACCCUGAUGCAGCGACGCCGCGUGAGCGAUGAAGCCCUUCGGGGUGUAAAGCUCUUUCGGCAGGGACGAUAAUGACGGUACCUGCAGAAGCAGCUGCGGCUAACUACGUGCCAGCAGCCGCGGUAAUACGUAGGCAGCGAGCGUUGUUCGGAAUUACUGGGCGUAAAGGGUGUGUAGGCGGUUUUCUAAGUUCGGUGUGAAAUCUCCCGGCUCAACCGGGAGGGUGCGCCGAAAACUGGGAGGCUAGAGUGCGGGAUGGGAAAGUGGAAUUCCUGGUGUAGCGGUGAAAUGCGUAGAUAUCAGGAGGAACACCGGUGGUGUAAACGGCUUUCUGGACCGUAACUGACGCUGAGACACGAAAGCGUGGGUAGCAAACAGGAUUAGAUACCCCUGUAGUC
RNAcentral lists this ribosomal RNA (440 nucleotides) under uncultured bacterium. RNAcentral's name for it is "partial 16S ribosomal RNA". It matches the Rfam family "Bacterial small subunit ribosomal RNA", at positions 338 to 795 of the family's 1533-position model. The record is from RNAcentral.